GUAAAUAAACCUGCGGGCUGGGACCCAGACAAUGGGCCUUGGCGAGGAGUUAAUGGGCUGGGCCUCUCGCGUUAGCCGAGUGUGACCGGAGCUGGCAGGGGGUCUGGCCUGGCGCCAGCAUCGAUUACGACCAGACGGAGCCAGGGCAGACUUGGCACGGGCGGGCCCCACAGCUGGCAGAUUCAGUCACCCUGGCCAUGAGGGCAUUUGGCCUGCCCCGGGCGCCCGCUGCCACCCGCUGGCCGCGCUCCCGCCGGCUGCCCGCGCGGCCCGUGGGGAAGGGCCGCAUGGUUGGCUCCUUGUCCUAUCCUGAGGAGAUCCACGGCCUCACGGUCUUGCUGAGCAAAGAUUUUGCAGGUUUGGCCUGACAUCAGCGGCAUAAAUCAUUCUGCUGGGAAGAGCCUCCGAAGCUGAGGGGAUGGUCAGUACACCUCUUCCCCGAGAGGUCCAGGAAGCCCCACUGAGGAGAGAAAACACCUGGCCCAUGCCCACAGGGAUAGUCCCUGCUCCCGAAGGUGAAGAGCAGGGAGGUCAGGUCCUGCUAGAGCCUACUCAUCCCACAUCUUUGGAGCUACAGGAUCUGUGUUCGUCCCAGAUUGGCUCCACACCGUUCUUGGGGACCCAGGGUUACGGAAGUUACACCAUGUCGUAGCUGCGUUAUCUGGAACAACAGGCCUCCCUAAUCACUGCAACAAGGGACGAGAGAGUCAAGAAUGGCACGUGGGUAUUUUCUGCACCAGCCUGGAAGUGACACAUAUCAUUUCUGCUUGUAUUGUAUUGCUCAGAACUCAUCACGUGGCCCACCUAACAUGAAGAACUAAAUACAAUGUUUAGUGAGCACCACUGUCUCUGCCAUAAUUACUAUGUCUUCUCUCAUCCUGUCUACCAUUUCCUCUCUGGAGCUGCCUGUUUUCUAUUUAUCUUAACCUACACACGGCAAUCUGACUUUCUGACAUAGUACUAGGCCAGGGGACAAAUGCGUGCUGUCGUUUCCUCCUCCCCUGCCCCGCCGCCACUGUUCACUGGUCACGGCUUUCUUUUCUGUGAGUCCAAGAGAAAGCCUCAGGACCUUCCCCAACAAAGGUGGCUGCCAGUCUCUCAGGAUCAUCACUAGAGAUGAAACACACUUGCUAUUCUUUGCCUAAGGAGUCCCGCUGCCCCCUGGGACAUGAACUGGCUUACUCGACUCCACUGCUUUCUCUGGGAUGGGACACGAGGCCAGCAGGCACUGGACCAUUUCUGUUGUUUGUGCCGUGUACAAACACCUAACCUGGGGCCCCCAUGUCACCCAUGUUUUCUGGGCUCUGGUAUUUUCCCUUCAACUUCUGCCACUUUGAUCAGGGUAAGAACAAUCAAAGGAAACUUGACUUCCUUCACAGCUAACAUGGGCGAACACAAGAAAAGGAAUCUUUAGGGGAAAAAACAGAAACACAAGUCUUUCUGACCCAGGACUUUGGAAUGGAACAGUCCAGACCUGCUCUCCAGAAGCCUCUACGGUUUCACAGGUCACUCCCCUAAACCGAGGAAGGGAAUGUUUUGUUCCUACCCUCAGUGAUGCGGAGCAAAGAGAAUAUCCUUCAGUUAAAAAAAUGUAGUAAUGAAUUUAAAGAGGAAAGGAAAUAUUCCUUUUCUUACAGGAUGAACAAAGUAGGAUCUUCAUAAGAAAAUCAGAAUCCUCUCAGCCGUUAAAACUCUGCUCACCACUUUCUGUUUCUUGAGCGCUUUACCCUGAGCCUCUGGGUUCUCCGGUAAGAGACACUUUAGAAAAUAGAGAAGUUGGGGCCGGCUACUGGCUUCCUCGGGUUU
Molecule: long non-coding RNA, 1806 nt
Organism: Phyllostomus hastatus (greater spear-nosed bat)
Lineage: Eukaryota; Metazoa; Chordata; Mammalia; Chiroptera; Phyllostomidae
Exons: 3
Source: RefSeq, a predicted model, not a curated record